Molecule: unclassified non-coding RNA, 380 nt
Filed under: uncultured Nectriaceae
Lineage: Eukaryota; Fungi; Ascomycota; Sordariomycetes; Hypocreales; Nectriaceae
Description: sequence contains ITS2
Rfam family: 5.8S ribosomal RNA (bases 1-154)
Source: RNAcentral
AACUUUUAGCAACGGAUCACUUGGUUCUGGCAUCGAUGAAGACCGCAGCGAAAUGCGAUAAGUAAUGUGAAUUGCAGAAUUCAGUGAAUCAUCGAAUCUUUGAACGCACAUUGCGCCCGCCAGUAUUCUGGAGGGCAUGCCUGUUCGAGCGUCAUUUCAACCCUCAAGCCCCCGGGCAUGGUGUUGGAGAUCGGCGUGCCUUCCGGGGCGCGCCGGCUCCAAAAUAUAGUGGCGGUCUCGCUGUAGCUUCCUCUGCGUAGUAGCACAUCUCGCACUGGAAAACAGCGUGGCUACGCCGUUAAACCCACCACUUCUCAAAGGUUGACCUCGGAUCAGGUAGGAAUACCCGCUGAAAUUAAGCAUAUCAAUAAGCGGAGGCU